Molecule: ribosomal RNA, 510 nt
Filed under: uncultured Pseudomonas sp.
Lineage: Bacteria; Pseudomonadati; Pseudomonadota; Gammaproteobacteria; Pseudomonadales; Pseudomonadaceae
Description: bacterial SSU rRNA
Rfam family: Bacterial small subunit ribosomal RNA
Source: RNAcentral
CUAUGCGCCUUCGCCAGCCCGCUCAGAAACUACAAAGGAAGUUGACGGGACCCCGCACAAGCGGUGGAUCAUGUUGUUUAAUUCGAUGAUACGCGAAGAACCUUACCAGGUCUUGACAUCCCCCGCGAUGCUUUAGAGAUAAAGCGGAGGUAUUCGGGGAGACAGGUGGUGCAUGGUUGUCGUCAGCUCGUGUCGUGAGAUGUUGGGUUAAGUCCCGCAACGAGCGCAACCCUUGUCCUUAGUUACCAGCACGUUAUGGUGGGCACUCUAAGGAGACUGCCGGUGACAAACCGGAGGAAGGUGGGGAUGACGUCAAGUCAUCAUGGCCCUUACGGCCUGGGCUACACACGUGCUACAAUGGUCGGUACAAAGGGUUGCCAAGCCGCGAGGUGGAGCUAAUCCCAUAAAACCGAUCGUAGUCCGGAUCGCAGUCUGCAACUCGACUGCGUGAAGUCGGAAUCGCUAGUAAUCGUGAAUCAGAAUGUCACGGUGAAUACGUUCCCGGGCCUU